GGCCAGACUCCUACGGGAGGCAGCAGUGGGGAAUAUUGCACAAUGGGGGAAACCCUGAUGCAGCAACGCCGCGUGAGUGAAGAAGUAUUUCGGUAUGUAAAGCUCUAUCAGCAGGGAAGAGAAUGACGGUACCUGACUAAGAAGCCCCGGCUAACUACGUGCCAGCAGCCGCGGUAAUACGUAGGGGGCAAGCGUUAUCCGGAUUUACUGGGUGUAAAGGGAGCGUAGACGGCAUGGCAAGUCUGAAGUGAAAGCCCGGGGCUCAACCGCGGGACUGCUUUGGAAACUGUUAAGCUGGAGUGCAGGAGAGGUAAGUGGAAUUCCUAGUGUAGCGGUGAAAUGCGUAGAUAUUAGGAGGAACACCAGUGGCGAAGGCGGCUUACUGGACUGUAACUGACGUUGAGGCUCGAAAGCGUGGGGAGCAAACAGGAUUAGAUACCCGAGUA
RNAcentral lists this ribosomal RNA (446 nucleotides) under uncultured bacterium. Its description in RNAcentral is "bacterial SSU rRNA". It matches the Rfam family "Bacterial small subunit ribosomal RNA", at positions 329 to 792 of the family's 1533-position model. The record is from RNAcentral.